AACGAACGCUGGCGGCAUGCCUAACACAUGCAAGUCGAACGAAGGCUUCGGCCUUAGUGGCGCACGGGUGAGUAACGCGUGGGAAACUGCCUAUUGGUGGGGAAUAACGACGGGAAACUGUCGCUAAUACCGCAUAAGCCCUUCGGGGGAAAGAUUUAUCGCCGAUAGAUGUGCCCGCGUCCGAUUAGCUAGUUGGUGAGGUAAUGGCUCACCAAGGCGACGAUCGGUAGCUGGUCUGAGAGGAUGAUCAGCCACACUGGGACUGGGACACGGCCCAGACUCCUACGGGAGGCAGCAGUGGGGAAUAUUGGACAAUGAGCGAAAGCCUGAUCCAGCAAUGCCGCGUGAGUGAUAAAGGCCUUAGGGUUGUAAAGCUCUUUCGGGUGGGACGAUGAUGACGGUACCACCAGAAGAAGCCCCGGCUAACUUCGUGCCAGCCGCCGCUGUAA
This 449-nucleotide ribosomal RNA is filed under the name uncultured bacterium. RNAcentral's name for it is "partial 16S ribosomal RNA". It matches the Rfam family "Bacterial small subunit ribosomal RNA", at positions 29 to 523 of the family's 1533-position model. The record is from RNAcentral.